GAACUGGUGGCGCACCGGCAGCGAGGCGAAGAAGAGCACUGACGGCGAUAGGUGAUCGCGAGCAAGGGAAGGUUAGGAGAAUUAGCGCUGCCUGAAAGCAGGAGGAAGAGGGAGAAAACAAAACUAAAGGAUGAAAACAAAACUAGCACGAUCUCGGUGCAGGCAAAACAUGAGCUGUGGAUGGAGCUGAGACAUAAACGAGCACAACACGACGAUCUGACAACAGACAGCACACGAGAGGAGACUAAAUAGAGAAGGAGUGAUUAACAUAAUGCAGAGCAGAUGAUAGUGGCCAAUAACAAAAUAAUAAUGAAACAAGAGGGCGGAGACGAGCACCACGAUGACACAGAAGCACAUGAGCUACCUCCACGAGUGCGCCGAGUGACAAUGCUCCAUGGCCCAAAGACGUCCAGUCCAACAUCGAUAAAAGGGGGUUCUGAGUCUUUUGCAGAUCACACAGUUAUAGAGGACACUAGACACCAGCCGUUUA
Long non-coding RNA from Cyprinus carpio carpio, 490 nucleotides. The record is from Ensembl. Lineage: Eukaryota; Metazoa; Chordata; Actinopteri; Cypriniformes; Cyprinidae.